GCGCGGGUAGUUUAGUGGUUAGAAUAUCUGAUUGCCAAUCAGGUGACCUGGGUUCGAUUCCCAGUCUGCGCA
RNAcentral lists this transfer RNA (72 nucleotides) under Candidatus Pacearchaeota archaeon. RNAcentral describes it as "tRNA-Gly". It matches the Rfam family "tRNA". From Rfam's summary of the family: Transfer RNA (tRNA) molecules are approximately 80 nucleotides in length. Their secondary structure includes four short double-helical elements and three loops (D, anti-codon, and T loops). Further hydrogen bonds mediate the characteristic L-shaped molecular structure. tRNAs have two regions of fundamental functional importance: the anti-codon, which is responsible for specific mRNA codon recognition, and the 3' end, to which the tRNAs corresponding amino acid is attached (by aminoacyl-tRNA synthetases). tRNAs cope with the degeneracy of the genetic code in two manners: having more than one tRNA (with a specific anti-codon) for a particular amino acid; and 'wobble' base-pairing, i.e. permitting non-standard base-pairing at the 3rd anti-codon position. Lineage: Archaea; Nanobdellati. The record is from RNAcentral.